Molecule: ribosomal RNA, 368 nt
Filed under: uncultured bacterium
Lineage: Bacteria
Description: bacterial SSU rRNA
Rfam family: Bacterial small subunit ribosomal RNA
Source: RNAcentral
GUAGGGUGCAAGCGUUAAUCGGAAUUACUGGGCGUAAAGCGUGCGCAGGCGGUUCUAUAAGACAGAUGUGAAAUCCCCGGGCUCAACCUGGGAACUGCAUUUGUGACUGUAGAGCUGGAGUACGGUAGAGGGGAGUGGAAUUCCGCGUGUAGCAGUGAAAUGCGUAGAUAUGCGGAGGAACACCGAUGGCGAAGGCAAUCCCCUGGACCUGUACUGACGCUCAUGCACGAAAGCGUGGGAGCAAACAGGAUUAGAUACCCUGGUAGUCCACGCCCUAAACGAUGUCAACUGGUUGUUGGGAAGGUUCCUUCUCAGUAACGUAGCUAACGCGUGAAGUUGACCGCCUGGGGAGUACGGCCGCAAGGUUG